Cyprinus carpio (common carp) is the source of this 978-nucleotide long non-coding RNA. Lineage: Eukaryota; Metazoa; Chordata; Actinopteri; Cypriniformes; Cyprinidae. The record is from Ensembl.
GCGACAAGCGACGAGGAUGCCACGUACAGACGGGGAAAAGGGAGGAAAAAACGGGAUGAAUAAACCACAGUUCAGUCAGCUGUAGAAAAGCACCUUGUCAUACACACACAUGCUCGAGCGCAGGUCCUGACGCUCAGCCAACACUGCCUGGCAACAAGAAAAGAGAAUCUAGGUGUGUGAGUGAUCCGUAGAUCCGUCGUGCUGUGGUAAGUCCUUUUCCAGGCGUGGUUGCGGUAGUCCUUGAAGGAGAGCAGAGGAGAGAGAGACAGGCUGUCUUUCACAGGAGGAUGAGGAGAGGCCUGGUCGUACCUCACAGCUUCACGGUGUGUCCUCUUCCUUCUGCUGCAGUGUGAUGGAGUGCACGUGUGUGUAUGCGUGCUUCUGCGUGAAGGGAAAGGAAAGAUGAAAAAGAGGGGGGAGGGAGAGAAAGAGGGAGAGAGAGAGGAUACAGCCAGCCUGUCUUUCUCGACUACCACUGCUGCUGAGCAUCUGCACAGCAUCACGAUAUCACAGAAGCCUCCUCCCUGCUCAGCCAAUCAGAGCCCGGCUAUCCUUGGCCAUACCUCCCACUGCAGGUGACAAGAGGAAUGAGCCUGGAGAGGAGAGUAGAUGAGGAUAUCAGAGAGAUGGAGGCAAGAGAAUCUGGAAUGCGGCAGAGCCAGAGAUUUUCACUGGAGUGAGAACUGUGACAUGAUGAGACUGAUGGGAAAUGGAGCAAAUGACAUGACACAGAUAAGGAUGCAAAUAAUGGAAGCUUUCACUUUGGAGAAUCUGAGCUUUCAGAUUGAACCGUAUGAGAGGGAAGAGGACAGACCCAAGAGCAUUCUCAGUGUGCCCAUCCUGAACCACAAAAAUGAGGACUGGUCCAAUGUAUUUUGGCAGGUUAUAGGUGCUGUCAUGGCUGUGAACAAAAGCAGGCCAGGCACAUGUGCAGGGAGCUUUUUCUCAGAACAAGAUGAGAAAGUAAGUAUUUAUUAA